UCACAAACACUGGCCAAAGUUAGCAUGGUUUAUGUGUUAAAAAAAUGCAAAAACCGCUAACUUUGGCCAGUGUUUGUGA
Pelobates cultripes (western spadefoot toad) is the source of this 79-nucleotide non-coding RNA. The record is from the annotation of a GenBank genome assembly. Lineage: Eukaryota; Metazoa; Chordata; Amphibia; Anura; Pelobatidae.